GACGAACGCUGGCGGCGUGCUUAACACAUGCAAGUCGAACGGAAAGGCCCUGCUUUUGUGGGGUGCUCGAGUGGCGAACGGGUGAGUAACACGUGAGUAACCUGCCCUUGACUUUGGGUUAACUUCAGGAAACUGGGGCUAAUACCGGAUAGGAGCUCCUGCUGCAUGGUGGGGGUUGGAAAGUUUCGGCGGUUGGGGAUGGACUCGCGGCUUAUCAGCUUGUUGGUGGGGUAGUGGCUUACCAAGGCUUUGACGGGUAGCCGGCCUGAGAGGGUGACCGGCCACAUUGGGACUGAGAUACGGCCCAGACUCCUACGGGAGGCAGCAGUGGGGAAUAUUGCACAAUGGGCGGAAGCCUGUUGCAGCAACGCCGCGUGCGGGAUGACGGCCUUCGGGUUGUAAACCGCUUUCGCCUGUGACGAAGCGUGAGUGACGGUAAUGGGUAAAGAAGCACCGGCUAACUACGUG
RNAcentral lists this ribosomal RNA (468 nucleotides) under uncultured bacterium. RNAcentral describes it as "partial 16S ribosomal RNA". It matches the Rfam family "Bacterial small subunit ribosomal RNA", at positions 28 to 507 of the family's 1533-position model. The record is from RNAcentral.